Pelobates cultripes (western spadefoot toad) is the source of this 82-nucleotide non-coding RNA. The record is from the annotation of a GenBank genome assembly. Lineage: Eukaryota; Metazoa; Chordata; Amphibia; Anura; Pelobatidae.
AAAAAGUCGACAUUUCAGUUUCAGAGCAAAACAUUAAUCAGGAAAACCAAGUUUUGCUCUAAAGCUGAAACGUCGACCUUUU